RNAcentral lists this ribosomal RNA (462 nucleotides) under Tytthoscincus hallieri. Its description in RNAcentral is "partial 16S ribosomal RNA". It matches the Rfam family "Bacterial large subunit ribosomal RNA", at positions 1923 to 2595 of the family's 2925-position model. Lineage: Eukaryota; Metazoa; Chordata; Lepidosauria; Squamata; Scincidae. The record is from RNAcentral.
UUAAACGGCCGCGGUAUUCUAACCGUGCAAAGGUAGCGUAAUCACUUGUCUUCUAAAUAAAGACCAGUAUGAACGGCUAAAUGAGGAUGAACCUGUCUCCUGCAACCAAUCAGUGAAACUGAUCUUCCAGUCCAAAAGCUGGAAUAUAAACAUAAGACGAGAAGACCCUGUGGAGCUUAAAACUAAGUACUACAAAACAACUAGUAUCACAUUUUAAGUUGGGGCGACUUCGGAACAAAACAGAACUUCCGAGCACAGAACCACUACUUCUUACUAAGGCCAACAAGCCAAAGAUACCAGACCCAGUCACACUGAUCAACGAACCAAGUUACCCCAGGGAUAACAGCGCCAUCUUCUUCAAGAGUUCCUAUCGACAAGAAGGUUUACGACCUCGAUGUUGGAUCAGGACACCCAAAUGGUGCAGCCGCUAUUAAAGGUUCGUUUGUUCAACGAUUAAUAGUC